This 370-nucleotide unclassified non-coding RNA is filed under the name Hevea brasiliensis (rubber tree). Lineage: Eukaryota; Viridiplantae; Streptophyta; Magnoliopsida; Malpighiales; Euphorbiaceae. The record is from RNAcentral.
AACAACACCAGCUGAUGUUGACCUACAAACAAACAACACCAAUUUAAUAAGUACCCAUGCAAAAAAACUAAUUUUCACUAAACAAAGACAAUCAACAGCAAUCACUAUUAUACAGGCAACGAAAGAGUAUGGUUGUCAGUGAAACAACAGCAAAAAGGUUGGAAAAUCCCUGAAUUUGCUAGAAAAGGAACCGAGUUGCAAUGAAAAUGUUCACAUGUAGCAAAUACCAUAUGCUAAAACAUAUAAAUUUCGAGGUUAUUCAAAAGUGACCUGCAUGGCACCAGAGAUAAACAGGAGAAAAAACAUAGCCAACAGUUUUCGUUUUUCUUUUGGAAUAAAUAUGCAGAACACACUAAAGAAUCAAGAGGGU